Molecule: ribosomal RNA, 404 nt
Filed under: Actinomycetes bacterium
Lineage: Bacteria; Bacillati; Actinomycetota; Actinomycetes
Description: Actinobacteria bacterium partial 16S ribosomal RNA
Rfam family: Bacterial small subunit ribosomal RNA
Source: RNAcentral
UGGGGAAUAUUGGACAAUGGGCGCAAGCCUGAUCCAGCCAUGCCGCGUGAGUGAUGAAGGCCCUAGGGUUGUAAAGCUCUUUCACCGGUGAAGAUAAUGACGGUAACCGGAGAAGAAGCCCCGGCUAACUUCGUGCCAGCAGCCGCGGUAAUACGAAGGGGGCUAGCGUUGUUCGGAUUUACUGGGCGUAAAGCGCACGUAGGCGGACUUUUAAGUCAGGGGUGAAAUCCCGGGGCUCAACCCCGGAACUGCCUUUGAUACUGGAAGUCUUGAGUAUGGUAGUGGUUAGUGGAAUUCCGAGUGUAGAGGUGAAAUUCGUAGAUAUUCGGGGGAACACCAGUGGCGAAGGCGGCUCACUGGACCAUUACUGACGCUGAGGUGCGAAAGCGUGGGGAGCAAACAGG